This 376-nucleotide ribosomal RNA is filed under the name uncultured bacterium. RNAcentral's name for it is "bacterial SSU rRNA". It matches the Rfam family "Bacterial small subunit ribosomal RNA", at positions 524 to 898 of the family's 1533-position model. The record is from RNAcentral.
UACGGGGGUGGCGAGCGUUGUCCGGAAUCACUAGGCGUAAAGGGCCAGUAGGCGGAUCGAUCAGUCGGAUGUCAAAGACGUCGGCUCAACCGGCGGACGGCGUCCGAUACUGUUGAUCUAGAGUAAGGUAGAGGAAGACGGAAUUCCUGGUGUAGCGGUGGAAUGCGCAGAUAUCAGGAAGAACACCAGUGGCGUAGGCGGUCUUCUGGGCCAUUACUGACGCUCAAUGGCGAAGGUGUGGGUAUCAAACAGGAUUAGAUACCCUGGUAGUCCACACAGUAAACGAUAUGCACUAGGUGUUGGGGGGGAAGAACCCUUCAGUGCCGUAGCUAACGCGUUAAGUGCAUCGCCUGGGGAGUACGAUCGCAAGGUUAAA